Molecule: ribosomal RNA, 710 nt
Filed under: Bacillus sp. enrichment culture clone DWSRK131
Lineage: Bacteria; Bacillati; Bacillota; Bacilli; Caryophanales; Bacillaceae
Description: bacterial SSU rRNA
Rfam family: Bacterial small subunit ribosomal RNA
Source: RNAcentral
CGAGCGAAUGGAUUAAGAGCUUGCUCUUAUGAAGUUAGCGGCGGACGGGUGAGUAACACGUGGGUAACCUGCCCAUAAGACUGGGAUAACUCCGGGAAACCGGGGCUAAUACCGGAUAACAUUUUGAACCGCAUGGUUCGAAAUUGAAAGGCGGCUUCGGCUGUCACUUAUGGAUGGACCCGCGUCGCAUUAGCUAGUUGGUGAGGUAACGGCUCACCAAGGCAACGAUGCGUAGCCGACCUGAGAGGGUGAUCGGCCACACUGGGACUGAGACACGGCCCAGACUCCUACGGGAGGCAGCAGUAGGGAAUCUUCCGCAAUGGACGAAAGUCUGACGGAGCAACGCCGCGUGAGUGAUGAAGGCUUUCGGGUCGUAAAACUCUGUUGUUAGGGAAGAACAAGUGCUAGUUGAAUAAGCUGGCACCUUGACGGUACCUAACCAAAAAGCCACGGCUAACUACGUGCCACCACCCGCGGUAAUACGUAGGUGGCAAGCGUUAUCCGGAAUUAUUGGGCGUAAAGCGCGCGCAGGUGGUUUCUUAAUUCUGAUGUGAAAGCCCACGGCUCAACCGUGGAGGGUCAUUGGAAACUGGGAGACUUGAGUGCAAAAGAGGAAAGUGAAAUUCCAUGUGUAGCGGUGAAAUGCGUAGAGAUAUGAAGGAACACCAGUGGCGAAGGCGACUUUUCUGGUCUGUAACUGACACUGAGGC